Molecule: ribosomal RNA, 2963 nt
Filed under: Candidatus Aminicenantota bacterium
Lineage: Bacteria; Candidatus Aminicenantota
Description: 23S ribosomal RNA
Rfam family: Bacterial large subunit ribosomal RNA
Source: RNAcentral
UUGGUUAAGGUAUUAAGGGUAUACGGUGGAUGCCUUGGCACAGAGAGUCGAUGAAGGGCGUGGCGAACUGCGAUAUGCCUCGGGUAGCCGUAAGCAGGCUUUGAUCCGGGGAUUCCCGAAUGGGGCAACCCAUCCCGAUUAAUAUCGGGUUAUCCCGCAAGGGAGGACAACCCAGGGAAGUGAACCAUCUCAGUACCUGGAGGAAAAGAAAUCAAGCGAGAUUUCCUGAGUAGCGGCGAGCGAAACGGAAAGAGCCUAAACCGCAGAGAUGUCAAGGGUAGGUCCGUUGUCUCUGUGGGGUUGUGGGAGCCGGUUGGAGAUGACCUGCCAUCUCCGGGAAGUCAAAAAAAGCAAUUCUAGUUGAAUGGCGUUGAAUAGCCAACCAUAGAGGGUGCUAGUCCCGUAAGCGAAAGGAUUGUUUCUUCCUCCGGAGUUCCCAAGUAGCGCGGGACACGAGAAAUCCCGUGUGAAUCCGGGUGGACCAUCAUCCAAGGCUAAAUACUCCUCUGUGACCGAUAGUGAACUAGUACCGUGAGGGAAAGGUGAAAAGUACCCCUGUUAGGGGCGUGAAAUAGAACCUGAAACCGUAUACCUACAAGCAGUCGGAGUCCCGAUUCGUCGGGAUGACGGCGUGCCUUUUGUAAAAUGAGCCGGCUAGUUAUUCUCAGUGGCAAGGUUAAGUCGUGGAGACGGAGCCGUAGCGAAAGCGAGUCUGAAUAGGGCGAUUGAGUCACUGGGAAUAGACGCGAAGCGGGGUGAUCUAUCCUUGGCCAGGGUGAAGUGUGGGUAACACCAUGCGGAGGCCCGAACCAGUGUCAGUUGAAAAUGGCUUGGAUGAGCUGAGGAUAGGGGUGAAAGGCCAACCAAACUCCGUUAUAGCUCGUUCUCUCCGAAAUAGCUUUAGGGCUAGCCUCACAUGAUUUGUGCAGGAGGUAGAUCACUGGAUGGACUAGGGCUUCGAAAGAAGUACUGAAUCCAACCAAAAUCCGAAUGCCUGCAACAACAGUGUGGGAGUCAGAAUGCGGGGGAUAAGCUCCGUGUUCAAAAGGGAAACAGCCCAGAUCGCCAGCUAAGGUCCCAAAAUUCAUGCUAAGUGGAAAAGGAUGUGAGAAUACACAGACAGCCAGGAGGUUGGCUUAGAAGCAGCCAUCCUUUAAAGAAAGCGUAAUAGCUCACUGGUCGAGCGUCCUUGCGCCGAAGAUGUAACGGGGCUCAAGCAUGAUACCGAAGCUGCGAAUCCCUUCGGGGAUGGUAGGAGAGCAUUCCUGGUCUUGGAUUCGAAUCGUGAGGUUCGAUGUUUACCAGGAAGAGAUCCUGCCGGCAUGAGUAGUGAUAAUCCCGGUGAGAACCCGGGACGCCGAAAAUCCAAGGUUUCCUGAGCAAGGUCAGUCCUCUCAGGGUUAGUCGGAUCCUAAGCCGAGGUCGAAAGGCGUAGGCGAUGGAAAGCAGGUCAACAUUCCUGCACCACCCCAACAGCGUUUGUACGAUGCGGGGACGCAAUAAGUCAGGCAGACCGUGCCGUUGGUUGAGCACGGCGGGUGACAAGGAAGGGCUCGUUAAUCAGGGCCGGAAUUCUGAGGUAGCCCGGGAAAUUCGGUUUUGCCGGAUGAACCUGCUGAAACUAUGUUGCCAAGAAAAGCCGCUAAGGAGUUGUUGAGGUGUCCGUACCGUAAACCGACACAGGUAGAUGGGUUGAGUAUACUAAGGCGCACGUGUGAAAUCUCCUUUAGGAACUCGGCAAAUUAACUCCGUAACUUCGGGAGAAGGAGUGCCUCGUUAGGGUGACGUUUUUCAACUGAGCUCGAGGAGGCCGCAGAGAAUAGGCCCAAGCGACUGUUUAUCAAAAACACAGGUCUCUGCUAAGAUGAAAUCGAUGUAUAGGGACUGACGCCUGCCCGGUGCCGGAAGGUUAAAGGGAGGGGUUAGCUUCGGCGAAGCUCUGAACUGAAGCCCCGGUAAACGGCGGCCGUAACUAUAACGGUCCUAAGGUAGCGAAAUUCCUUGUCGGGUAAGUUCCGACCCGCACGAAAGGCGUAACGAUUUGGGCACUGUCUCAAGGAGAUGCACGACGAAAUUGUAGUACCGGUAAAGAUGCCGGUUACCCGCUGCUGGACAGAAAGACCCCGUGAACCUUUACUGCAACCUAAUAUUGAAUUCUGGUGCGGUAUGUGCAGGAUAGGUGGGAGGCUUUGAAGUUCCACCGCCAGGUGGGAUGGAGCCAAUCUUGGGAUACCACUCUUGUCGUAUCGGGAUUCUAACCCACGGAGUUAUCCUCCGUGGAGACAGUGUUAGGCGGGUAGUUUGACUGGGGCGGUCACCUCCCAAAGAGUAACGGAGGUGCCCAAAGGUACCCUCAGGCUGUUUGGAAAUCAGCCGUAGAGUGCAAAGGCAUAAGGGUGCUUGACUGCGAGACCGACAGGUCGAGCAGGUGGGAAACCAGGGCUUAGUGAUCCGGUGGUUCCGUAUGGAAGGGCCAUCGCUCAACGGAUAAAAGGUACUCCGGGGAUAACAGGCUUAUAGCGUCCAAGAGCUCAUAUCGACGACGCUGUUUGGCACCUCGAUGUCGGCUCAUCACAUCCUGGGGCUGGAGCAGGUCCCAAGGGUUCGGCUGUUCGCCGAUUAAAGUGGUACGUGAGCUGGGUUCAGAACGUCGCGAGACAGUUCGGUCCUUAUCCACAGUGGGCGCAGGAGAUUUGAGGGAAUCUGUCCCUAGUACGAAAGGACCGGGAUGGGUGAAUCUCUGGUGAUCCAGUUGUUCCGCCAGGAGCAUUGCUGGGUAGCUACAUUCAUUAUGGAUAACCGCUGAAAGCAUCUAAGCGGGAAGCCAAUCCCAAGAUAAUAUCUCCCUUCACCUUCGGGUGACUAAAGACCCCUCGUAGACGACGAGUUUGAUAGGCUGGAUGUGUACGCACGGUAACGUGUUUAGCUGACCAGUACUAAUCGGUCGUGAGCCUUAACCAUUU